RNAcentral lists this ribosomal RNA (484 nucleotides) under uncultured bacterium. RNAcentral's name for it is "partial 16S ribosomal RNA". It matches the Rfam family "Bacterial small subunit ribosomal RNA", at positions 30 to 507 of the family's 1533-position model. The record is from RNAcentral.
AUUGAACGCUGGCGGCAGGCCUAACACAUGCAAGUCGAGCGGAUGAAGGGAGCUUGCUCCUGGAUUCAGCGGCGGACGGGUGAGUAAUGCCUAGCAAUCUGCCUGGUAGUGGGGGAUAACGUCCGGAAACGGGCGCUAAUACCGCAUACGUCCUGAGGGAGAAAGUGGGGGAUCUUCGGACCUCACGCUAUCAGAUGAGCCUAGGUCGGAUUAGCUAGUUGGUGGGGUAAAGGCCUACCAAGGCGACGAUCCGUAACUGGUCUGAGAGGAUGAUCAGUCACACUGGAACUGAGACACGGUCCAGACUCCUACGGGAGGCAGCAGUGGGGAAUAUUGGACAAUGGGCGAAAGCCUGAUCCAGCCAUGUCGCGUGUGUGAAGAAGGUCUUCGGAUUGUAAAGCACUUUAAGUUGGGAGGAAGGGCAGUAAGUUAAUACCUUGCUGUUUUGACGUUACCAACAGAAUAAGCACCGGCUAACUUCGUG